Molecule: ribosomal RNA, 547 nt
Filed under: Lysurus sp.
Lineage: Eukaryota; Fungi; Basidiomycota; Agaricomycetes; Phallales; Phallaceae
Description: eukaryotic LSU rRNA
Rfam family: Eukaryotic large subunit ribosomal RNA
Source: RNAcentral
CGCGUACAAGUCCCCUGGAACGGGGCGUCGCAGAGGGUGAGAAUCCCGUCUUUGACGCGGUCUGCCCGGUGCCAUGCGAUGCGCUCUCGAAGAGUCGAGUUGUUUGGGAAUGCAGCUCAAAAAGGGUGGUAAAUUCCAUCUAAAGCUAAAUACUGGCGAAAGACCGAUAGCGAACAAGUACCGUGAGGGAAAGAUGAAAAGCACUUUGGAAAGAGAGUCAAACAGUACGUGAAAUUGUUGAAAGGGAAACGCUUGAAGUCAGUCGCGUCUCCCGGGAUUCAGCAGGUUCCUUCGCGGGACAGGCGCAUUUCCCGGGGUUUUGACGGGCCAGCGUCGAUUUCGACCGUCGUAAAAAGGCGAAGAGGAACGUGGCACCUUUCGGGGUGUGUUAUAGCCUCGCGUCGUAUGCGAACGGUUUAGGGAUCGAGGAACGCAGCGCGCCUUUUUCAUUAAGGGCCGGGGUUCGCCCACGUAACGCGCUUAGGACGCUGGCGUAAUGGCUUUAAGCGACCCGUCUUGAAACACGGACCAAGGAGUCUAACAUGCU